CCUACGGGAGGCUGCAGUAGGGAAUAUUGCUCAAUGGGGGAAACCCUGAAGCAGCAACGCCGCGUGGAGGAUGAAGGUUUUCGGCUUGUAAACUCCUUUUGUUAGGGAAGAUAAUGACGGUAUCUAACGAAUAAGCACCGGCUAACUCCGUGCCAGCAGCCGCGGUAAUACGGAGGGUGCAAGCGUUAAUCGGAAUCACUGGGCGUAAAGAGCGCGUAGGCGGGAUAGCAAGUCAGAUGUGAAAUCCUAUGGCUUAACCAUAGAACUGCCUUUGAAACUGGUAUUCUAGAGUAUGGGAGAGGUAUGUGGAAUGCGUGGUGUAGGGGUAAAAUGCGUAGAGAUCGAGCAGAAUACUCAUUGCGAAGGCGACCUGCUAGAACGUAACUGACGCUGAUGCGCGAAAGCGUGGGGAGCAAACAGGAUUAGAUACCCCUGUAGUC
Molecule: ribosomal RNA, 440 nt
Filed under: uncultured bacterium
Lineage: Bacteria
Description: partial 16S ribosomal RNA
Rfam family: Bacterial small subunit ribosomal RNA
Source: RNAcentral